ACCUAGGCGGCUUACUCGGUUAAGCACCCGACUCUGGCUCAGGUUAUGAUCUCACGGUUUGUGGGUUCGAACCCCGCUUUGGGUG
Molecule: transfer RNA, 85 nt
Filed under: Felis catus (domestic cat)
Lineage: Eukaryota; Metazoa; Chordata; Mammalia; Carnivora; Felidae
Rfam family: tRNA
About the family: Transfer RNA (tRNA) molecules are approximately 80 nucleotides in length. Their secondary structure includes four short double-helical elements and three loops (D, anti-codon, and T loops).
Source: Rfam by way of RNAcentral